UGUGGUCAUGUGUGUUUGUAGCCACCUCUGGUUGUAGGGUCUGUCCUGAUGGGUGGGCUCACAACAGUGGGAAGUGCUACCUCUUCUCCUCCACUAGGAAGACCUGGAAUCAGAGUCGAGAUCACUGCAUCACAUUAGGGGGGCAUCUGGCCAUUGUGAACAGUCAAGAGGAACAGAAUUUUCUAUCCCAAAGUGCCAUUGAGGUUUUCUACUGGAUGGGACUGAGUGAUCUGGAGACAGAGGGACAGUGGAUUUGGGUGGACAGCACACCUCUCAGUGAGACUGGAGCCGUAUUCUGGAAGAAAGGGCCUGAUGGACAGUAUGAACCAGAUAACUGGAAGGAGGAAGA
Molecule: long non-coding RNA, 349 nt
Organism: Clupea harengus (Atlantic herring)
Lineage: Eukaryota; Metazoa; Chordata; Actinopteri; Clupeiformes; Clupeidae
Exons: 3
Source: RefSeq, a predicted model, not a curated record